RNAcentral lists this ribosomal RNA (354 nucleotides) under Triticum aestivum (bread wheat). Its description in RNAcentral is "partial small subunit ribosomal RNA". Lineage: Eukaryota; Viridiplantae; Streptophyta; Magnoliopsida; Poales; Poaceae. The record is from RNAcentral.
CUGGACCUUGCGGCGAGUAGCAUGCCUGGAGAUCUUAGCCAGUGGAUAAUGAAGCAUUACGAUCCGAAGAUUUCGUAGAUAGUCAUUCCAGAAAGGGGGAAGAUUCCUGUAGAUGCCGCUAGUGUCCGUAGGAUAUGGGGUUUGCCCAACAGGGGCAGGAAGGUGUGCUUCGAGAAUCGGCCUGAAAUCACAAAGGCAAUGUACAGUAUUUACAACAUCACAUCGAAGAACUCCCCAACCCUGACAGAAUGGUGCAAGAUGAUAGUAGACAUGGGAGGAUCUCAUGAUGAUGACUUUGUCCGCGCUUGGCUAGCUCUUGUUUUUCGUGCUUCCUUGCCCCUUCAACUAGUUUGA